Solanum pennellii is the source of this 942-nucleotide long non-coding RNA. RefSeq lists it as uncharacterized. The transcript is spliced from 2 exons. NCBI's taxonomy places the organism in Eukaryota, Viridiplantae, Streptophyta, Magnoliopsida, Solanales, Solanaceae. The record is from RefSeq and is a predicted model, not a curated record.
UUGAAAUCACCUCCAAUUAGCCAUGGUCCAUUCAUUCCACCACAUAAUUGAUAUAAAUCAUCCCUAAAAUCUAAUCUUUGGAUACUAUCACACUUAGUAUAUACAAAUGUUGCAUAAAAGCUAAAUCUUGAAUUAUGAUCAAGCAUUAGAACAGUGAGUUGCUGCUCUCUGUUUUUUUACUACUGCAACAUCAUAACCAUGAUUAUCAAACACCCUUAUAUUUCCACUGAUAUUGUGAGUUACCAUAGGCAUUCUUAAUCUCCUUCUAUAUCUAUUGAGGGAUCUAACCGACUGAAAAGGCUCCAUCAGAGAAACAAAUGCAAACUUAUGAAAGUUAUGCAACAUUUAUACUCUUUGAAAUGCAUGUUGAGACCUUACUGACCUAAUAUUUCAAAUUAGAGCCUUCACUGAUGUUUGGAAUAUUGGGAUAUAACCUGUCUCUUUGGUUGGACUCGAAGAGGGUAGACUCAGUAUUAUCACUUUCUACAAAGUUAUGGAUUGUAUGCGUAGAAGACAGUUGAGCAUCACUUUGCAAGACUGAUCCAAAUGCUUUUGUGAUCCACUCCUUGGUUGAUAUUAUCACUCCUUUCCCUUUAUCUUGAGAGUCAGGUUCCCUUUAUUACUAAUAACAUUAAUUUCUAUAUUUUGAGACUUUGAUGUACUGAUGCCUUCCAGAGUGUUUUUCUCUUGGGCAUGAGCAUCAAACUUGUUCUCCACUACAAGUAGUUAUCUGAGGGGCUGUAUUUGUGUUCCCCCUUUUUAUUCCUUACCACAUUCCAAUUACCAGGGUCUUGCACUACUUUCCGACUUGAAAGUAUUCUUGCUCCUCCUUUUUGCAGUUUUUGAAUCUUAGCAGCUUGCGGCUCGUGUUUGAGUUGUGCUAUGUCUUGUAUAUAUUGAGCAUUUUGCUCUACAUUAUUCCUAAAAUUGACCACUUUACAA